Molecule: ribosomal RNA, 292 nt
Filed under: uncultured bacterium
Lineage: Bacteria
Description: partial 16S ribosomal RNA
Rfam family: Bacterial small subunit ribosomal RNA
Source: RNAcentral
GUGCCAGCCGCCGCGGUAAUACAGAGGUCUCGAGCGUUGUUCGGAUUCAUUGGGCGUAAAGGGUGCGUAGGCGGCGAGGUAAGUCGGAUGUGAAAUCCCGGGGCUCAACCCCGGAACUGCAUUCGAUACUGCCCCGCUUGAGGACUGGAGAGGAGACUGGAAUUCACGGUGUAGCAGUGAUAUGCGUAGAUAUCGUGAGGAAGACCGGUGGCGAAGGCGGGUCUCUGGACAGUUCCUGACGCUGAGGCACGAAGGCCAGGGGAGCAAACGGGAUUAGAAACCCCCGUAGUCC